Neopsephotus bourkii (Bourke's parrot) is the source of this 773-nucleotide long non-coding RNA. RefSeq lists it as uncharacterized. The record is from RefSeq and is a predicted model, not a curated record. Lineage: Eukaryota; Metazoa; Chordata; Aves; Psittaciformes; Psittacidae. The transcript has 4 exons.
CCAGCCUGCACGGCAUACUGAAUUCAAAUGCCCCUUUCCCACUUGCACCUCAGGGUUGUAGGUUUUUCUCAGAGCAUCUUGAACAGAUAAUCAGAGCAUGCUGACAUUCAGCAGUAAUCAAUUAGCGCCUACUUUAGAUUAAAUUGAGAAUAUGUAAAUUAGGCUCCUCAUCAGGCACCACAGUCAACAUUUCAGAGACACUCACUGUGCUCUGAACAUAUCAAACAGAUGAAACGCAGAAGUUGUUCCAAAUCCUGCUCCAAAAUGGGAGGCCAGUGAAAACACAGCCACCACCAGGUGUCAAGAGCUUAUGCUGGUCCUGGCAAUGCUUGGGAUAAUUACACUUUGUUUCAUAAAAAGACAAAGAGGAUAAGCCUUGGUGUUAUUCCUCUCCCAGUGUCACAGCAUCCACACCUACUGCUUAGUUAAGUUUCUGCUGGACACAGGCCAGAAGUCUUAUGUUUGUAUGUAUUCAGUGGAAAAGACUUGCCCAUGGAAGAGGAACCGCCUCUUUCUUCAGACACUGAGCAAGGAGCUUGCACCCACCCCCAGCUGAUCACAUUUGGAGAAAGAGACAAUAACUGGACCCCACCUAGAGUAGAUAUUGUAGUUGGUGCUCAUUAAAAAGAGCCUCUAACCUGUAGAUAAGCACUGCCUUGUGCCAACCCAUCACUCAAACGUCCCACCUUUGCCGCAACCUUUCCGUCUGGCUCACGCAGAACCGCGAUAAGCCGCCGCUUCCCGCCCCACAGGAACGGGGGGUCCCUCAGAAG